RNA transcript from Rhinolophus ferrumequinum (greater horseshoe bat), 1221 nucleotides. It is a transcript of the gene named CLN6 transmembrane ER protein, with no coding region annotated. The transcript has 8 exons. NCBI's taxonomy places the organism in Eukaryota, Metazoa, Chordata, Mammalia, Chiroptera, Rhinolophidae. The record is from RefSeq and is a predicted model, not a curated record.
CUGCGCGGGGUAUUUGUCGCCGCCGCCAGGCCAGUUGAGCGCUUCUCUGACUCGGGAAAGCAAGGCGGAGGGGCCAGCUGACGGCGGGGCAGCCAUGGAGGCAGCGGUGCGGAGGCGGCAGCAGCCGGGAGCAGCGGGCGGCCAGGGCGCGCAGCCGGGCGCCUCCUUCCUGCAGGCCAGGCAUAGCUCUGUCAAGGCUGAUGAGGCCGCGGGCACAGCUCCCUUCCACCUUGACCUCUGGUUCUACUUCACCCUGCAGAACUGGGUUCUGGACUUUGGCCGCCCGAUUGCCAUGCUGGUGUUCCCUCUCGAAUGGUUUCCGCUCAACAAGCCCAGCGUGGGGGACUACUUCCACAUGGCCUACAACAUCACCACACCCUUUCUCCUGCUCAAGCUCAUCGAGCGGUCGCCCCGCACCCUGCCGCGCUCCGUGAUCUACGUCAGCAUCAUCACCUUUAUCAUGGGCGCCAGCAUCCACCUGGUGGGCGACUCAGUGAACCACCGCCUGCUCUUCAGUGGCUACCAGCACCACCUGUCUGUCCGCGAGAACCCCAUCAUCAAGAAUCUCAAACCAGAGACGCUGAUCGACUCCUUCGAGUUGCUCUACUACUACGACGAGUACCUGGGCCACUCCAUGUGGUACUUCCCCUUCUUCCUCAUCCUCUUCAUGUACUUCAGCGGCUGUUUCACCCCCACCCAAGCCAAGAGCUCGAUGCCAGGGGCAGCCCUGCUCCUGGUGGUGCCCAGUGGCCUGUACUACUGGUACCUGGUCACGGAGGGCCAGAUCUUCAUCCUCUUCAUCUUCACCUUCUUCGCCAUGCUGGCCCUCGUCCUGCACCAGAAGCGCAAGCGCCUCUUCCUGGACAGUAAUGGCCUCUUCCUCUUCUACUCCUUUGCCCUCACCCUCCUGCUCGUGGCCCUCUGGGUCGCCUGGCUAUGGAAUGACCCUGUGCUCAGGAAGAAGUACCCCGGCGUCAUCUACGUCCCUGAGCCCUGGGCAUUCUACACCCUCCACAUCAGCAGCCCACACUGAGUCCCUGGCUCUGUUGGGUGGCAGAUGGGCUGAGCAGAGGGGUGUGUGUGUGUGUGUGUGUGUGCACGUGUGUACAUGUGUGCAUGCGUGCAUCACCAGGAGACUUUUUCUGGUCAAGUUUGUUUGGUUUGGAUCUUUUCAGGCUGGGGUUUAGUUUUAGGCAGUGUGUCCAGGUCAAGUUAUGGGCA